Molecule: ribosomal RNA, 468 nt
Filed under: uncultured bacterium
Lineage: Bacteria
Description: partial 16S ribosomal RNA
Rfam family: Bacterial small subunit ribosomal RNA
Source: RNAcentral
GACGAACGCUGGCGGCGUGCUUAACACAUGCAAGUCGAACGGAAAGGCCCAGCUUCUGUGGGGUGCUCGAGUGGCGAACGGGGGAGUAACACGUGAGUAACCUGCCCUUGACUUGGGGAUAACUUCAGGAAACUGGGGCUAAUACCGGAUAGGAGAUCCUGCUGCAUGGUGGGGGUUGGAAAGUUGCGGCGGCUGGGGCUGGUCGCGCGGCUUAUUGGCUUGUUGGUGGGGUAGUGGCGGACCAAGGCUAUGACGGAUAGCCGGCCUGAGAGGGUGACCAGCGCCCUUAGGACUGAGAUACGCCCCAGUCGCGUACGGGAGACAGUAGUGGGAAAUCUUGUGCAAUGGGCGCGAGCCUGAGGCGGCAGCGCUGCGUGCGGGAUGCCCGGCUGCGGGUUGAAAACCGCUUUCGCCUGUGACGAAGCGUGAGUGACGGUAAUGGGUAAGAAAGCACCGGCUAACUACGUG